UAGUCAUUCCUCCCAUAUAAAAAUUCACAAGAAGUUUUAUAAACCUUGAAAACACAACAACAACAACCCAAUUUUGCUUUGUGAAUUGUUAUCAACCAAACAGGAAUUAUGAGCAACACACAAACUCAACAACAACAACAAAACAUGGACAACGUUCCUCCUGCUGGGUACCCGACUAUAAGUCCUCCUGAAGGAAAGAUGAAGAAGAAGGGUUGGUUCCGCACCAAAAAGAGGGGUGAGAAAGGUUUUAUUGAAGGAUGUUUGGCCGGGUUAUGUUGCUGUUGGAUCUGUGAAGAGUGCUGCUGCUAAAAGAAUCAUGGAUUGAUAAUUGAUGAUGAUUAUUAUAUCUAUCAUGUUUGUGAAAUUAUUGGAUUCUUGAAUUAUGUGUAAUUGAUUUAUGAUUUGAUGAACAAUACCAUAAUGUGUAGUAUAUUUUUUAAAAAUAUACAUAUUUGUCAUGUGAAUAAUAAAAUUAUCAGUGUUAGUUUUUGUUAAUUA
Chenopodium quinoa (quinoa) is the source of this 498-nucleotide long non-coding RNA. RefSeq lists it as uncharacterized. The transcript is spliced from 3 exons. The record is from RefSeq and is a predicted model, not a curated record. NCBI's taxonomy places the organism in Eukaryota, Viridiplantae, Streptophyta, Magnoliopsida, Caryophyllales, Amaranthaceae.